GUGCACCAGGCGCGAACCUUCGCAAUGCGGGAAACCGCGACGAGGGACUCCCAGUGCCUACGCUCAGCGUAGGCUGUUCCCGAGCCUAGAAAGCUCGGGGAGUAAGGGCUGGGUAAGACGGGUGCCAGCCGCCGCGGUAAUACCCGCAGCCCGAGUGGUGGCCACUAUUAUUGGGCCUAAAGCGUCCGUAGCCGGCCCGGUAAAUGCCUGGGUAAAUCGUGAGGCCUAACCUCACGAAUUCCGGGUAGACUGCCGGGCUAGGGACCGGAGGAGGGAGAGGGUACUCCAGGGGUAGGGGUGGAAUCCUGUAAUCCCUGGAGGACCACCGGUGGCGAAGGCGCUCUCCUAGGACGGGUCCGACGGUGAGGGACGAAAGCCAGGGGAGCGAACCGGAUUAGAUACCCCGGUAGU
RNAcentral lists this ribosomal RNA (411 nucleotides) under uncultured microorganism. RNAcentral describes it as "bacterial SSU rRNA". It matches the Rfam family "Archaeal small subunit ribosomal RNA", at positions 330 to 745 of the family's 1478-position model. The record is from RNAcentral.